GGACAGAAGGGAGCUUGCUCCCGGAUGUUAGCGGCGGACGGGUGAGUAACACGUGGGUAACCUGCCUGUAAGACUGGGAUAACUCCGGGAAACCGGAGCUAAUACCGGAUAGUUCCUUGAACCGCAUGGUUCAAGGAUGAAAGACGGUUUCGGCUGUCACUUACAGAUGGACCCGCGGCGCAUUAGCUAGUUGGUGGGGUAAUGGCUCACCAAGGCGACGAUGCGUAGCCGACCUGAGAGGGUGAUCGGCCACACUGGGACUGAGACACGGCCCAGACUCCUACGGGAGGCAGCAGUAGGGAAUCUUCCGCAAUGGACGAAAGUCUGACGGAGCAACGCCGCGUGAGUGAUGAAGGUUUUCGGAUCGUAAAGCUCUGUUGUUAGGGAAGAACAAGUGCGAGAGUAACUGCUCGCACCUUGACGGUACCUAACCAGAAAGCCACGGCUAACUACGUGCCAGCAGCCGCGGUAAUACGUAGGUGGCAAGCGUUGUCCGGAAUUAUUGGGCGUAAAGGGCUCGCAGGCGGUUUCUUAAGUCUGAUGUGAAAGCCCCCGGCUCAACCGGGGAGGGUCAUUGGAAACUGGGAAACUUGAGUGCAGAAGAGGAGAGUGGAAUUCCACGUGUAGCGGUGAAAUGCGUAGAGAUGUGGAGGAACACCAGUGGCGAAGGCGACUCUCUGGUCUGUAACUGACGCUGAGGAGCGAAAGCGUGGGGAGCGAACAGGAUUAGAUACCCUGGUAGUCCACGCCGUAAACGAUGAGUGCUAAGUGUUAGGGGGUUUCCGCCCCUUANUGCUGCAGCUAACGCAUUAAGCACUCCGCCNGGGGAGUACGGUCGCNAGANUGAAAC
RNAcentral lists this ribosomal RNA (850 nucleotides) under Bacillus pumilus. RNAcentral's name for it is "bacterial SSU rRNA". It matches the Rfam family "Bacterial small subunit ribosomal RNA", at positions 66 to 900 of the family's 1533-position model. Lineage: Bacteria; Bacillati; Bacillota; Bacilli; Caryophanales; Bacillaceae. The record is from RNAcentral.